This 1343-nucleotide ribosomal RNA is filed under the name uncultured bacterium. Its description in RNAcentral is "16S ribosomal RNA". It matches the Rfam family "Bacterial small subunit ribosomal RNA", at positions 28 to 1378 of the family's 1533-position model. The record is from RNAcentral.
GACGAACGUUGGCGGCGUGCUUAACACAUGCAAGUCGAACGGAAAGGCCCUGCUUUUGUGGGGUGCUCGAGUGGCGAACGGGUGAGUAACACGUGAGUAACCUGCCCUUGACUUUGGGAUAACUUCAGGAAACUGGGGCUAAUACCGGAUAGGAGCUCCUGCUGCAUGGUGGGGGUUGGAAAGUUUCGGCGGUUGGGGAUGGACUCGCGGCUUAUCAACUUGUUGGUGGGGUAGUGGCUUACCAAGGCUUUGACGGGUAGCCGGCCUGAGAGGGUGACCGGCCACAUUGGGACUGAGAUACGGCCCAGACUCCUACGGGAGGCAGCAGUGGGGAAUAUUGCACAAUGGGCGGAAGCCUGAUGCAGCAACGCCGCGUUCGGGAUGACGGCCUUCGGGUUGUAAACCGCUUUCGCCUGUGACGAAGCGUGAGUGACGGUAAUGGGUAAAGAAGCACCGGCUAACUACGUGCCAGCAGCCGCGGUGAUACGUAGGGUGCGAGCGUUGUCCGGAUUUAUUGGGCGUAAAGGGCUCGUAGGUGGUUGAUCGCGUCGGAAGUGUAAUCUUGGGGCUUAACCCUGAGCGUGCUUUCGAUACGGGUUGACUUGAGGAAGGUAGGGGAGAAUGGAAUUCCUGGUGGAGCGGUGGAAUGCGCAGAUACCAGGAGGAACACCAGUGGCGAAGGCGGUUCUCUGGGCCUUUCCUGACGCUGAGGAGCGAAAGCGUGGGGAGCGAACAGGCUUAGAUACCCUGGUAGUCCACGCUGUAAACGGUGGGUACUAGGUGUGGGGUCCAUUCCACGGGUUCCGUGCCGUAGCUAACGCUUUAAGUACCCCGCCUGGGGAGUACGGCCGCAAGGCUAAAACUCAAAGGAAUUGACGGGGCCCCGCACAAGCGGCGGAGCAUGCGGAUUAAUUCGAUGCAACGCGUAGAACCUUACCUGGGUUUGACAUGGAUCGGGAGUGCUCAGAGAUGGGUGUGCCUCUUUUGGGGUCGGUUCACAGGUGGUGCAUGCCUGUCGUCAGCUCGUGUCGUGAGAUGUUGGGUUAAGUCCCGCAACGAGCGCAACCCUUGUUCACUGUUGCCAGCACGUUAUGGUGGGGACUCAGUGGAGACCGCCGGGGUCAACUCGGAGGAAGGUGGGGAUGACGUCAAGUCCUCAUGCCCCUUAUGUCCAGGGCUUCACGCAUGCUACAAUGGCUGGUACAGAGAGUGGCGAGCCUGUGAGGGUGAGCGAAUCUCGGAAAGCCGGUCUCAGUUCGGAUUGGGGUCUGCAACUCGACCUCAUGAAGUCGGAGUCGCUAGUAAUCGCAGAUCAGCAACGCUGCGGUGAAUACGUUCCCGGG